UUUCGAACGUAAUACGCGUUUAUAUUGUGGAGGCGAUAUGGAUAGAGCGUCCCUUCGGGGACAUCCGAUAAAAUUGGAACGAUACAGAGAAGAUUAGCAUGGCCCCUGCGCAAGGAUGACACGCACAAAUCGAGAAAUGGUCCAAAUUUUUUUUUUUCUAAAUUACGAAUUGCUGUGACUUUACGAUCUUACCCCUCCCAGAUUUAUCGUUUUCUCUGGCUGUUGAGAGCUCGCUUGGAGUGAAGAGGUAUGCAUGGCUUCCUUCAUAGUCGUCUUCUUCUUCUUCUUCUUCUUCCAACGCCGUAGUAUUGAUCGGUUUCUAUUUAAUUUUUGGUUUUCUAGCAAUUUGGUCUGAAACAACUGAUUUGGGUGCAGAAAAGGUUGAAUUGGUGCAUUAGGGUUACGUCUCCCUUCCUGAUUCUCUCUUUUCCUAUGCCUUGGUUUUAAACAAUCUGUGAGGGGUUGUUGCUUUGCAGGAGUUUGAUUUUGGUGCUUUAUCAUGUUCUUUUCCUACGAUUAGGGAUUCGUUCAUGAUAUUUAGUUUCUCAGUGUUCAAUUGAGCCAACUUUUCGCUGUGCUGUGUGUUCCGCUUGACUUUUAUUUGUAGGUUAUGAAUUGAAUGCGUUUCUUGUACCUUGCUUGGUCAUGGAAUUUGAUUGAACAAAAAGCUCUAAAAUUGGAUCUGGGUUUAUGUAGAAAAGGAUGGUUUUGGGAUUUUUGUUUAUCUGGGAUUUGUAAUUGAAUGAGCGUGGAGAGUUUGUUCCCUCUGAUCAUAAGCACCAAUUUGUUCAUUCGGCUCAAACUGUGUCAACAACAUCUCAUGAUCCAAAACAUACCUUGGAUUUGUUUGCUUCUGCCCCACAGCAGAGGAGAAGUAAUUGUCACCCUUCAUAUCAACAACAGAUGAACUCUAGUGCAGCACAACCAAAUAUAACAAUCCAAGCUUACGGAAGUCCAGUUUUCAUUGUUACAACUUUAGUUACAUCAACUGCUGCUCGAACCUCGAUCGACUGCGCUGGACAAUAUCAACUCUUCUGCAACCAAGUCCCUGAAUACUGGAAAAGUUGGUAACAUUGACGGGCUGAAGAUGUAAGAAAGCAGAAGGAAGGUAAUGAAGGUUAGUGAAUAAUGAAUGUAGUAUCAUUCUUCACAGUUCAUAUGUAAAUGACCUUUGUUCAUCCUGCUCAUAUCAGUUGCAUCACAACAACAGCAAAACAAAGGGAAGCUUAGAACAUACAGUAAAAAAAAAAAUAUAUAUAUAUAUAUUUUACUCCCUCAAUUUACUUUCAAUUUUUGUUCAUUUCCGCCCCUUUACCUUCAAAACGUCUAUUCUAGUUCCUAUACUCUGUUUUAGUCCCUUCAA
Long non-coding RNA from Cucurbita maxima (winter squash), 1363 nucleotides. RefSeq lists it as uncharacterized. The record is from RefSeq and is a predicted model, not a curated record. The transcript has 2 exons. Lineage: Eukaryota; Viridiplantae; Streptophyta; Magnoliopsida; Cucurbitales; Cucurbitaceae.